RNAcentral lists this ribosomal RNA (411 nucleotides) under uncultured Lactobacillus sp. RNAcentral describes it as "bacterial SSU rRNA". It matches the Rfam family "Bacterial small subunit ribosomal RNA", at positions 338 to 746 of the family's 1533-position model. Lineage: Bacteria; Bacillati; Bacillota; Bacilli; Lactobacillales; Lactobacillaceae. The record is from RNAcentral.
CCUACGGGAGGCAGCAGUGAGGGAUAUUGGACAAUGGGCGGAAGCCUGAUCCAGCCAUGCCGCGUGAAGGACUAAGGCCCUAUGGGUCGUAAACUUCUUUUGACGCAGAGCAAUAAGGGACACGUGUGUUCCGAUGAGAGUAUGCGUCGAAUAAGCAUCGGCUAACUCCGUGCCAGCAGCCGCGGUAAUACGGAGGAUGCGAGCGUUAUCCGGAUUUAUUGGGUUUAAAGGGUGCGUAGGCUGUCGGUUAAGUCAGCGGUGAAAUCAGCACGCUUAACGUGUUGUUUGCCGUUGAAACUGUCCGUCUUGAAUGCGCUCGUCGUGGGAGGAAUGUGUGGUGUAGCGGUGAAAUGCAUAGAUAUCACACAGAACACCGAUUGCGAAGGCAUCUCACGAGAGCGUUAUUGACGC